This 924-nucleotide ribosomal RNA is filed under the name uncultured bacterium. RNAcentral's name for it is "bacterial SSU rRNA". It matches the Rfam family "Bacterial small subunit ribosomal RNA", at positions 72 to 990 of the family's 1533-position model. The record is from RNAcentral.
GAUGGUGCUUGCACUAUCACUUAGCGGCGGACGGGUGAGUAAUGCUUAGGAAUCUGCCUAUUAGUGGGGGACAACAUCUCGAAAGGGAUGCUAAUACCGCAUACGUCCUACGGGAGAAAGCAGGGGAUCACUUGUGACCUUGCGCUAAUAGAUGAGCCUAAGUCGGAUUAGCUAGUUGGUGGGGUAAAGGCCUACCAAGGCGACGAUCUGUAGCGGGUCUGAGAGGAUGAUCCGCCACACUGGGACUGAGACACGGCCCAGACUCCUACGGGAGGCAGCAGUGGGGAAUAUUGGACAAUGGGGGGAACCCUGACCCAGCCAUGCCGCGUGUGUGAAGAAGGCCUUAUGGUUGUAAAGCACUUUAAGCGAGGAGGAGGCUCUUUUGGUUAAUACCCAGAAUGAGUGGACGUUACUCGCAGAAUAAGCACCGGCUAACUCUGUGCCAGCAGCCGCGGUAAUACAGAGGGUGCAAGCGUUAAUCGGAUUUACUGGGCGUAAAGCGCGCGUAGGCGGCCAAUUAAGUCAAAUGUGAAAUCCCCGAGCUUAACUUGGGAAUUGCAUUCGAUACUGGUUGGCUAGAGUGUGGGAGAGGAUGGUAGAAUUCCAGGUGUAGCGGUGAAAUGCGUAGAGAUCUGGAGGAAUACCGAUGGCGAAGGCAGUCAUCUGGCCUAACACUGACGCUGAGGCGCGAAAGCAUGGGGAGCAAACAGGAUUAGAUACCCUGGUAGUCCAUGCCGUAAACGAUGUCCACUAGCCGUUGGGGCCUUUGAGGCUUUAGUGGCGCAGCUAACGCGAUAAGUAGACCGCCUGGGGAGUACGGUCGCAAGACUAAAACUCAAAUGAAUUGACGGGGGCCCGCACAAGCGGUGCAGCAUGUGGUUUAAUUCGAUGCAACGCGAAGAACCUUACCUGGCUUGACAUAGU